AGAGCAGCUGGUCCAGCACCGGGCACGCCUCCUUCUUGCCCCGCUUCUCGAAGUCUGCAGCGCGGCCGGGAGGGGACAGAAACAGACGCCAGGUGUUGUCUCAACAGUCUUAUCACGUGGUGGGAGGCAACAAGCCUGAUGUCGCGGGAGGAGAGGGGUCACCUAUGCUGCCAGCUAAAAGGAUUUUCUGUUGGCAUGUCUUCCCUUAUAAAACUGUGCAUCAUCAUGAGUGAUAAGAGUGGUCGUGCCAAUGCUGCAGUCUGUUUGAACUGCUGUACUCUAAGAAACAGCUCAUGCCCAUACCACUUAUCAGCCAUGUAUGAUAAUUAUAAGGGUCUAGAAAACCAUUGGCAUGACAUAUAUUUUAUAUGCAAUCUAUAGUGAUUUUCUCUUUCAUUUCAGAAAAGCUUUCCUGGGCUCUUCACAUACUAGAUACAAAGCAAAUAGCUUCAGGUGACCAUAGAACAUUUUUGCUGCACGUGACUCCCAAGGCUUUCAUUUAG
Long non-coding RNA from Gavialis gangeticus (Gharial), 503 nucleotides. RefSeq lists it as uncharacterized. The transcript has 2 exons. The record is from RefSeq and is a predicted model, not a curated record. Lineage: Eukaryota; Metazoa; Chordata; Crocodylia; Gavialidae.